RNAcentral lists this small RNA (28 nucleotides) under Bombyx mori (domestic silkworm). Its description in RNAcentral is "piRNA piR-bmo-1585050". Lineage: Eukaryota; Metazoa; Arthropoda; Insecta; Lepidoptera; Bombycidae. The record is from RNAcentral.
UCAGCGUGGUUCGGAGGGCGACCCCUUU